AUUGAACGCUGGCGGAAUGCUUUACACAUGCAAGUCGAACGGCAGCACGGGGCAACCUGGUGGCGAGUGGCGAACGGGUGAGUAAUACAUCGGAACGUGCCCAAUCGUGGGGGAUAACGUAGCGAAAGUUACGCUAAUACCGCAUACGAUCUACGGAUGAAAGCGGGGGAUCGCAAGACCUCGCGCGAAUGGAGCGGCCGAUGUCAGAUUAGGUAGUUGGUGGGGUAAAGGCUCACCAAGCCAACGAUCUGUAGCUGGUCUGAGAGGACGACCAGCCACACUGGAACUGAGACGCGGUCCAGACUCCUACGGGAGGCAGCAGUGGGGAAUUUUGGACAAUGGGCGCAAGCCUGAUCCAGCCAUUCCGCGUGCAGGAUGAAGGCCUUCGGGUU
This 392-nucleotide ribosomal RNA is filed under the name uncultured bacterium. RNAcentral's name for it is "bacterial SSU rRNA". It matches the Rfam family "Bacterial small subunit ribosomal RNA", at positions 30 to 424 of the family's 1533-position model. The record is from RNAcentral.